Molecule: ribosomal RNA, 2888 nt
Filed under: Shigella sonnei
Lineage: Bacteria; Pseudomonadati; Pseudomonadota; Gammaproteobacteria; Enterobacterales; Enterobacteriaceae
Description: bacterial LSU rRNA
Rfam family: Bacterial large subunit ribosomal RNA
Source: RNAcentral
GUACACGGUGGAUGCCCUGGCAGUCAGAGGCGAUGAAGGACGUGCUAAUCUGCGAUAAGCGUCGGUAAGGUGAUAUGAACCGUUAUAACCGGCGAUUUCCGAAUGGGGAAACCCAGUGUGAUUCGUCACACUAUCAUUAACUGAAUCCAUAGGUUAAUGAGGCGAACCGGGGGAACUGAAACAUCUAAGUACCCCGAGGAAAAGAAAUCAACCGAGAUUCCCCCAGUAGCGGCGAGCGAACGGGGAGCAGCCCAGAGCCUGAAUCAGUGUGUGUGUUAGUGGAAGCGUCUGGAAAGGCGCGCGAUACAGGGUGACAGCCCCGUACACAAAAAUGCACAUAUUGUGAGCUCGAUGAGUAGGGCGGGACACGUGGUAUCCUGUCUGAAUAUGGGGGGACCAUCCUCCAAGGCUAAAUACUCCUGACUGACCGAUAGUGAACCAGUACCGUGAGGGAAAGGCGAAAAGAACCCCGGCGAGGGGAGUGAAAAAGAACCUGAAACCGUGUACGUACAAGCAGUGGGAGCACGCUUAGGCGUGUGACUGCGUACCUUUUGUAUAAUGGGUCAGCGACUUAUAUUCUGUAGCAAGGUUAACCGAAUAGGGGAGCCGAAGGGAAACCGAGUCUUAACUGGGCGUUAAGUUGCAGGGUAUAGACCCGAAACCCGGUGAUCUAGCCAUGGGCAGGUUGAAGGUUGGGUAACACUAACUGGAGGACCGAACCGACUAAUGUUGAAAAAUUAGCGGAUGACUUGUGGCUGGGGGUGAAAGGCCAAUCAAACCGGGAGAUAGCUGGUUCUCCCCGAAAGCUAUUUAGGUAGCGCCUCGUGAAUUCAUCUCCGGGGGUAGAGCACUGUUUCGGCAAGGGGGUCAUCCCGACUUACCAACCCGAUGCAAACUGCGAAUACCGGAGAAUGUUAUCACGGGAGACACACGGCGGGUGCUAACGUCCGUCGUGAAGAGGGAAACAACCCAGACCGCCAGCUAAGGUCCCAAAGUCAUGGUUAAGUGGGAAACGAUGUGGGAAGGCCCAGACAGCCAGGAUGUUGGCUUAGAAGCAGCCAUCAUUUAAAGAAAGCGUAAUAGCUCACUGGUCGAGUCGGCCUGCGCGGAAGAUGUAACGGGGCUAAACCAUGCACCGAAGCUGCGGCAGCGACGCUUAUGCGUUGUUGGGUAGGGGAGCGUUCUGUAAGCCUGCGAAGGUGUGCUGUGAGGCAUGCUGGAGGUAUCAGAAGUGCGAAUGCUGACAUAAGUAACGAUAAAGCGGGUGAAAAGCCCGCUCGCCGGAAGACCAAGGGUUCCUGUCCAACGUUAAUCGGGGCAGGGUGAGUCGACCCCUAAGGCGAGGCCGAAAGGCGUAGUCGAUGGGAAACAGGUUAAUAUUCCUGUACUUGGUGUUACUGCGAAGGGGGGACGGAGAAGGCUAUGUUGGCCGGGCGACGGUUGUCCCGGUUUAAGCGUGUAGGCUGGUUUUCCAGGCAAAUCCGGAAAAUCAAGGCUGAGGCGUGAUGACGAGGCACUACGGUGCUGAAGCAACAAAUGCCCUGCUUCCAGGAAAAGCCUCUAAGCAUCAGGUAACAUCAAAUCGUACCCCAAACCGACACAGGUGGUCAGGUAGAGAAUACCAAGGCGCUUGAGAGAACUCGGGUGAAGGAACUAGGCAAAAUGGUGCCGUAACUUCGGGAGAAGGCACGCUGAUAUGUAGGUGAAGUCCCUUGCGGAUGGAGCUGAAAUCAGUCGAAGAUACCAGCUGGCUGCAACUGUUUAUUAAAAACACAGCACUGUGCAAACACGAAAGUGGACGUAUACGGUGUGACGCCUGCCCGGUGCCGGAAGGUUAAUUGAUGGGGUCAGCGCAAGCGAAGCUCUUGAUCGAAGCCCCGGUAAACGGCGGCCGUAACUAUAACGGUCCUAAGGUAGCGAAAUUCCUUGUCGGGUAAGUUCCGACCUGCACGAAUGGCGUAAUGAUGGCCAGGCUGUCUCCACCCGAGACUCAGUGAAAUUGAACUCGCUGUGAAGAUGCAGUGUACCCGCGGCAAGACGGAAAGACCCCGUGAACCUUUACUAUAGCUUGACACUGAACAUUGAGCCUUGAUGUGUAGGAUAGGUGGGAGGCUUUGAAGUGUGGACGCCAGUCUGCAUGGAGCCGGCCUUGAAAUACCACCCUUUAAUGUUUGAUGUUCUAACGUGGACCCGUGAUCCGGGUUGCGGACAGUGUCUGGUGGGUAGUUUGACUGGGGCGGUCUCCUCCUAAAGAGUAACGGAGGAGCACGAAGGUUGGCUAAUCCUGGUCGGACAUCAGGAGGUUAGUGCAAUGGCAUAAGCCAGCUUGACUGCGAGCGUGACGGCGCGAGCAGGUGCGAAAGCAGGUCAUAGUGAUCCGGUGGUUCUGAAUGGAAGGGCCAUCGCUCAACGGAUAAAAGGUACUCCGGGGAUAACAGGCUGAUACCGCCCAAGAGUUCAUAUCGACGGCGGUGUUUGGCACCUCGAUGUCGGCUCAUCACAUCCUGGGGCUGAAGUAGGUCCCAAGGGUAUGGCUGUUCGCCAUUUAAAGUGGUACGCGAGCUGGGUUUAGAACGUCGUGAGACAGUUCGGUCCCUAUCUGCCGUGGGCGCUGGAGAACUGAGGGGGGCUGCUCCUAGUACGAGAGGACCGGAGUGGACGCAUCACUGGUGUUCGGGUUGUCAUGCCAAUGGCACUGCCCGGUAGCUAAAUGCGGAAGAGAUAAGUGCUGAAAGCAUCUAAGCACGAAACUUGCCCCGAGAUGAGUUCUCCCUGACCCUUUAAGGGUCCUGAAGGAACGUUGAAGACGACGACGUUGAUAGGCCGGGUGUGUAAGCGCAGCGAUGCGUUGAGCUAACCGGUACUAAUGAACCGUGAGGCUUAACCUU